This 359-nucleotide ribosomal RNA is filed under the name uncultured bacterium. Its description in RNAcentral is "partial 16S ribosomal RNA". It matches the Rfam family "Bacterial small subunit ribosomal RNA", at positions 338 to 694 of the family's 1533-position model. The record is from RNAcentral.
CCUACGGGCGGCAGCAGUGAGGAAUAUUGGUCAAUGGGCGGAAGCCUGAACCAGCCAAGUCGCGUGAGGGAAUAAGGCCCUACGGGUCGUAAACCUCUUUUGCCGGGGAGCAAGGGCGGGGACGUGUCCCGGCCCGGAGAGUACCCGGAGAAAAAGCCUCGGCUAACUCCGUGCCAGCAGCCGCGGUAAUACGGGGGAUGCGAGCGGUAUCCGGAUUUAUUGGGUUUAAAGGGUGCGUAGGCGGGCUUUUAAGUCAGCGGUAAAAAUUCGGGGCUCAACGCCGUCCGGCCGGUGAAACUGGGGGCCUGGAGUGGGUGAGAAGAAGGCGGAAUGCGGGGUGUAGCGGUGAAAUGGAUAGA